CAUGUAAGAUGUGCUGGCUUCCCCUUUACCUUCCUCCAUGAUUGUAAGUUUCCUGAGGCCUCCCCAGCCAUGCUUCCUGUACAGCCUGCAGAACUGAUGCUCUAAAAGAUCCUGCUGGAGCUAUUAAGUUUCUACAGUUUAAAAAUUCUGAAUUCUGAAACACAUCUGGUGCACAGAAUUUCAGAACUGGACCCAGCAUCUGCAGCCAUAGAUAAGAUCAACCCAAGAGCUAUUAAGACCUCAAGCUGCUGCUGCCCUUUGGAGCUCUCUGAUCUGGAAAGAUGCUGAACAGCCUCACCUAGACACAUGACACCCGCUCGUCAAGCCCCCUUUCCCCCAGGGGUUCCCUUGUCCUCCUCCUCCUCCAGGUGGUAACCCUCAUACCAUAGCCUCUAGAUGACCUCUUGCUGUGAGGGACAUGCGAAUCUGUCAAAGCGCCACCCACAUAAAGCUUGUGGUGCUAUUGCCACCUCAUGGCUAUCCCCCAAAUCCUUCAAACCUACAUCAAGGCUGUCAGAUUCCCCUCCCACCUUCCCCACACAGAGGCUGUCAGCCAGGAACUCUGCUGAGACCAGAACCUCACCCUGCGGCAUGAGCUGCUCCAGCAUUUGAAGAAAAGCGUCUAUUUUCCAAGAGCUUCUCAUGACUUUCCCAUGCCAGAUCAUUACCCUUGCCCAAUAGAUGAGCAUGGCACGGGUCCAUCCAUCGCACGUUUUGAGCACCUACCACGUCC
Long non-coding RNA from Symphalangus syndactylus (siamang), 733 nucleotides. RefSeq lists it as uncharacterized. The record is from RefSeq and is a predicted model, not a curated record. NCBI's taxonomy places the organism in Eukaryota, Metazoa, Chordata, Mammalia, Primates, Hylobatidae.